RNAcentral lists this ribosomal RNA (238 nucleotides) under uncultured bacterium. Its description in RNAcentral is "partial 16S ribosomal RNA". It matches the Rfam family "Bacterial small subunit ribosomal RNA", at positions 524 to 761 of the family's 1533-position model. The record is from RNAcentral.
UACGAAGGGGGCUAGCGUUGUUCGGAAUCACUGGGCGUAAAGCGCACGUAGGCGGAUCUUUAAGUCAGGGGUGAAAUCCCGAGGCUCAACCUCGGAACUGCCUUUGAUACUGGGGAUCUCGAGUCCGGGAGAGGUGAGUGGAACUGCGAGUGUAGAGGUGAAAUUCGUAGAUAUUCGCAAGAACACCAGUGGCGAAGGCGGCUCACUGGCCCGGAACUGACGCUGAGGUGCGAAAGCG